RNAcentral lists this ribosomal RNA (468 nucleotides) under uncultured bacterium. RNAcentral describes it as "partial 16S ribosomal RNA". It matches the Rfam family "Bacterial small subunit ribosomal RNA", at positions 28 to 507 of the family's 1533-position model. The record is from RNAcentral.
GACGAACGCUGGCGGCGUGCUUAACACAUGCAAGUCGAACGGAAAGGCCCUGCUUUUGUGGGGUGCUCGAGUGGCGAACGGGUGAGUAACACGUGAGUAACCUGCCCUUGACUUUGGGAUAACUUCAGGAAACUGGGGCUAAUACCGGAUAGGAGCUCCUGCUGCAUGGUGGGGGUUGGAAAGUUUCGGCGGUUGGGGAUGGACGCGCGGCUUAUCAGCUUGUUGGUGGGGUAGUGGCUUACCAAGGCUUUGACGGGUAGCCGGCCUGAGAGGGUGACCGGCCACAUUGGGACUGAGAUACGGCCCAGACUCCUACGGGAGGCAGCAGUGGGGAAUAUUGCACAAUGGGCGGACGCCUGAUGCAGCAACGCCGCGUGCGGGAUGACGGCCUUCGGGUUGUAAACCGCUUUCGCCUGUGACGAAGCGUGAGUGACGGUAAUGGGUAAAGAAGCACCGGCUAACUACGUG